This is a long non-coding RNA of Ursus maritimus (polar bear), 1643 nucleotides long. NCBI's taxonomy places the organism in Eukaryota, Metazoa, Chordata, Mammalia, Carnivora, Ursidae. The record is from Ensembl.
UGGAUUGUCUUGGCACCCUUGUUGAAAACCAAUUAUCUAUAAAUAUAUGAGUUUAUUUUUGGACUUUCAAUAUAUGUCUAUCCUUAUACCAGUAGCACACUGUCUUAUGAUUAGUGUAGGUUUGUCAUAGGUUUUGAAAUUGGGAAGCCUGUGUCUUCCAACUUCGAUUUUUUUCAAAAUUGUUUUGUCUACUUUGGGUCCCUUGCAUUUCUGUAUGAAUUUAGGACCCAUUUGUCAAUUUAUGUAAAAGAGGCUGCUGAGACUUUGACAGGGAUUGUGUCGAAUCUGUAGGCCAAUCUGGGGAGUAUUGCCAUCUUAACAUUAUUUAGUCUUCUCCGGUGUUAUUCUUAAAAAACAAAACAAACCACAAACCUCAACAGUUACUUAACUCACAUAACCACAAUUACUGUUUUUCUGCAGUGUGGAUAGCUCCUAUUUCCUCCAACUACCUUUUAAAAUGGAACGCUUUGCCUUAUAUGAAGCCGGGUUGUGGCCAAAAGAGAACAUCAAAUCCUGGAUCAUCGAUUUUCUGACCUUAGAGGCCCCUUUCAGGAUGAAGCCUCAUAAUUUUCAAGCUUCUCCAGUGUUCAUCCCCCAGAGAAAUGUGCCCUAUUCUUCCCAUAAUCCAGCAAACACCUAUUAAUUAACUGGAGGGGGAAAAAAAAGAGAAUUGUAGGGGAAGUAUGAUGGGGCAGUAAAACAGUAGGUACCCUCACUGACCCCAGGGCAGUAUGUAAUCCACCGCAAAUCUCCUCCCAAAUUACAACAAUGGCUUGUAGAGGAGAGGAAGAAGAGAAACCCUAAAUUUUAUUCCUACUUCCAACAUCUGCUCCCUCUCCAUUGUUGGGUGACCCGCCUAGAGUGGCUCUUGGUCUCCAUUCCUGCAGCAGGUUGGAAAAAAGAUUGUGUAAUGUCAGUCAAGUACCAAGCAAUUGAAAAGCAAGUGGUAUUAUUCAUCUGGAAAUUGACCUAGCUAGUCUUUGUCUCGGCUGCUAGAGCUAAUUUCAUUCACAGGUGCCAUGUUAUUUACUGAUUUAACCAUCUCCUUCAGUACCACUUCUCAGCAUUGCACUUUGAAGUAAAAUAAUGUUCUUGUGUGUGUGUCUUGAUUACACAUGUCACCGGAGACAGAAAUGAAGGUUUAAAAUUUCCUGCUAGGUGUUUGCUCUUCCUGGCUCGGAUCCGGCACGGCUGCCGGCUAUCAGGUUCCAUACACCAGCUGUGGUGUGGUGAGUGGGGGGCAGGGACUAGAACAGAAGCUCCCUCGUUCAUUCAACAAACAUUCUGUCGUAGGAUGGGUUCUCAAGGAAGCAGAUCCCAAGUCAAGGACUUGAGAGCAAGUCCUUUACUGGAGAACCAAAGAAAAUGACAGUUGUGAGGUGAGGAAGUAAGACAAAGAAAGGAAGGCAGUCAAUCAAGGGUGCAUUGUUGGGUCAUCUGGGAAAUUUGGGAUCUGGGGUAGAACACAUGCCUCAGAGUUAUCUGACCCAAGCGCUGAAGGAACUGGGAUAUUUGUACAUCAACUCCCAUUAAUCAUUGACUGAGAACUGCUCCCGGGGAGCAUGAAUUCCCUGGAAGUUCAGCCCGGCUAUUGGAGUAGGCAAAGCAGGCUUUGGUGGCCAGAGAACGUGCUCAGCCAAAGG